UAUCAUCUCUUAUUCAAUAUGGCUCCUGCAUCUCUAUUGCCAGAAUCUCCUGAACCUCCUGCUACUCCUCCAAAACAAUUGACCCACAAUCAACAUUGAGAUAUCCUUCUUCUUUGCAGACUGGAUUGGACCUAUCAAAAGAUCUCUGAUCAGCUUGUCAACUCACUGAGGAACAGAUAAAUGAGAUUAUAGAGUUCAUCUCUGCCUCCAGAAUCAACCAUCAAAUGCCAUUCUACUACCGAGUCUCUAACCUAGCAAGCUUCUCACUGAUUAUAAGCUAAGGUUGGGGCUUAUAUAGUGUUGCUGAGCUUGUUCACUAAGUCAGGAGAUAGUGCCACUAUCACAGGUUAAGAUAUAACAUCAAGAGGAAUAUCUAGAAUGACUAGCAAUAGCUAUGAUGGUGGUCUAAGAUAGAUAAUAAGAAUAUCUAGUAGGGCUUACAGAGUAGAGUGAAUGCUUAAGAUAUGUGUUGUGAAGAAGUAUACUUAAGAUGAGCUUAUAGUUGUACAAUGUAACUGAGUAUAAGUAAUAGAAUGAGGAGUAGAUAAUAAGAUAAAAUA
Molecule: small RNA, 560 nt
Filed under: Histoplasma capsulatum var. duboisii H88
Lineage: Eukaryota; Fungi; Ascomycota; Eurotiomycetes; Onygenales; Ajellomycetaceae
Description: Histoplasma capsulatum H88 hypothetical RNA
Source: RNAcentral